GAUGAAGAACGUAGCGAAAUGCGAUAAGUAAUGCGAAUUGCAGAAUCCGUGAGUCAUCGAAUCUUUGAACGCACAUUGCGCCCUCGGGUAUUCCGGAGGGCAUGCCUGUUCGAGCGUCAUUAUCACCCCUCAAGCCCGGCUUGUUGUUGGAUGCAGCGCUUAUCCCGCUCCUCCCAAAGAUAAUGACGGCGUCUGCGACGACUCCUGUACACUGAGCUUUCGGGCACGUACACGGCUAGAAGUCCAGACCCGGUCGCCGUCCCCCCCGCGGGGACACCCAUUACCACAAGGUUGACCUCGGAUCAGGUAGGAAUACCCGCUGAACUUAAGCAUAUCAAUAAGCGGAGGA
This 349-nucleotide unclassified non-coding RNA is filed under the name soil metagenome. RNAcentral describes it as "partial contains 5.8S ribosomal RNA, internal transcribed spacer 2, and large subunit ribosomal RNA". The stretch from base 1 to 119 matches the Rfam family "5.8S ribosomal RNA", at positions 35 to 154 of the family's 154-position model. The record is from RNAcentral.